CCUACGGGGGGCUGCAGUGGGGAAUAUUGGACAAUGGGGGCAACCCUGAUCCAGCCAUGCCGCGUGUGUGAAGAAGGCCCUCGGGUUGUAAAGCACUUUCAGUGAGGAAGAACGCCUGGUGGUUAAUAUCCAUCAGGAAAGACAUCACUCACAGAAGAAGCACCGGCUAACUCCGUGCCAGCAGCCGCGGUAAUACGGAGGGUGCGAGCGUUAAUCGGAAUUACUGGGCGUAAAGCGCGCGUAGGUGGCUUGAUAAGCCGGUUGUGAAAGCCCCGGGCUCAACCUGGGAACGGCAUCCGGAACUGUCAAGCUAGAGUGCAGGAGAGGAAGGUAGAAUUCCCGGUGUAGCGGUGAAAUGCGUAGAGAUCGGGAGGAAUACCAGUGGCGAAGGCGGCCUUCUGGACUGACACUGACACUGAGGUGCGAAAGCGUGGGUAGCAAACAGGAUUAGAUACCCUGGUAGUC
Molecule: ribosomal RNA, 465 nt
Filed under: Vreelandella stevensii
Lineage: Bacteria; Pseudomonadati; Pseudomonadota; Gammaproteobacteria; Oceanospirillales; Halomonadaceae
Description: partial 16S ribosomal RNA
Rfam family: Bacterial small subunit ribosomal RNA
Source: RNAcentral